CAUUAUUUUAAAAUUAUAGUCAUUCUAACGGAUGUGAAGUGGAAACUCAUUGUGGUUUUGAUUUUCAUUUCCCUAAAGACUAAUGAUGUUGAACAUCUUUUCAUGUGCUUGUUGGCCAUUUGUAUAUCUUUUAUGGAGAAAUGUCUAUUAAAGUCCUUUGCCUAUGUUUUAAUUGAAUUGUUUCUCUUUUCGUUGUUGAGUUAUAGGAGUUCUUUCUAUACUCUGGAUACUAGACCUUUGUCAGAUGUAUGAUAUGCAAAUAUGUUUCCCAUUCUGUAGGUUAUCUUUUCACUUUCUUGAUAAUGACUUUUGGUACAUAAAAGUUUUUCAUUUUGGUAAAGUCUUAAUUUAUCUGUUCUUUGUUUCAUCGCUCAUGGUUUGGGUGUCAUAUCUAAGAAUCCAUAACUAAAACCAAGUUAAUUCAGUUUUAUUCCUGUGUUUUCCUCGAAGAGUUUUGUGAUUUUUAACUAUUAGACUGCUGAUCCAUUUAGAGUUAAUUUUUGUAUAUCGUGUGAAGUAGGGGUCCAACUUAAUUCCUUUGCAUGUGAUUAUCCAAUUGUCUCAGAGUUGUUUGUUGAGGAGACUGUUCUUUCCCCAUUAAGUAGUCUUAGCACUCUUGUCAAAAAUCAAUUGGUCAUAAAUGUAUGUGUCUAUUUCUGGACUCUCAAUCCUGUUUCAUUGGUCUAUACAUUUAUCCUUAUCUCUGUUACCACACUCCCCGUCACUUCUUUUUAUACAAAAGUAUUUUUACUCUGUUUAAGAAAUAUAAAAAUAAAAUUUUCAUUACAAAUAAUUGUUUAUGAAGUUGGUUCGAAGAUCAUGGAUUGAAUACAUGCUACAUCUCCUUCUUAUCAAAAUCUCUAGAAAUGACAUAAGUAAAUUAAUUACUUAAUAGAUAACAAAGCUCAAAAAUAAGGAGAAUCAGAGAUAUGGUGAAUCAGAAACUAUGAAGAAUGACUAAGAAAAGAAAGAAUCUGGGAUUUAAUUGUAAAUGUACUCCUCUAUGGUCAUAACACUGAUGGGACUGUCAGCGAAGAGGGCACACGCCACUCUCUUCCAAAGCAGGCUACCCAUGGAGAUCUAGCAAAUAGUCUAGGAGAGAUUUUCAAAUAUUAAGAUUAGCGUACAAACAAGUAUCAUCAGAUAUCUGAGGAAAGCCCCUACCAUCGAAGAAAAUGGCAGAAGGUAUACUCGGAUAAAUAGAAUUAAUAGGGCAAUUUGAACAGAAUUUAGAAUAAAUAUAAUUAAUAAUUAAUGUAUUUGGAGUUAUGUAAAGGAUUUAUAAAAAAGAAUCAGCUCAAGUUUAUGCAAACAAAGAUGGGCUCAGUAAAAUUAAAAGUCAAUUGAUUACCUUAGUGGCAUUUUGGAGCUAGGUAAAAAAAAUAAAAAAUUGUAGCAUUUAUAAUUCAUAUCAAGGAUUUCCCUAAAAUACAGUACAAAAGGACAAAAUAUAGACAAUAUGAAAGGAAAGGUCACAGAAGACAAAUCUUCCACUGUCUAUACAAAUGGAAAAGAUAUACAAGGACAAAAAAGUUACAACUAAAUAGCCACAAUUCUUAAAUAAUAGAAAAACACUUCCCAGAAUUUAAGAAAAACAUAAUUUAUCUCAUCAAAAGGGUCCACUAAUUGCUAAGCAGAAUCCAUUAGUUGAAAUCCCUUACAUAUCAAUAUGGAAGAAAUUUACUAAAAGUUCUUGAGAGAUUUCCAACAAAGAAAUACAAAAGAAGGUUAACUAAGCAAUAGCUAACAUAACAAUGGACAAUCUCAAAAUUUUGUAGGAAAACAUCCUUGAACAUAAAAUUCUAUACCUUAGCCAAUUAUCCAUCAACUGUGGUGGCAAAAUAAAGAGAUUUUCAUUUAAUCCCAAGACUUAGACAUUUAUAUCUCAGAGACUCUCUCUAAAUCAAUUACUACUGGAUAUGCUGUAUUAAAAAAUAAAUUGAAAUUUCACAGUAAUAAGUAAGAUACAAAGAACAAUGAAAGCAAAGAAAUCAGUAAACAUAUUAUUAGCUCUAAACAAAUUCUUUAACAAAAUUUUAAAUUAAAUUCUGCAGAAAAUGAAAGUACUAAUAUGGGAGGCUUGUAGCUUUGAAGUGAGGGUGAAUGAAGGAAACUAUUAAAGUCCUUAUUUGGCUUGAGGGCAAGAGGUGAAUACAGUUAACUCUAGAAAUUAACUUUAGGCUGGGUAAUGGUCCCCCAAAG
Molecule: long non-coding RNA, 2202 nt
Organism: Equus caballus (horse)
Lineage: Eukaryota; Metazoa; Chordata; Mammalia; Perissodactyla; Equidae
Source: Ensembl